CAGCAGCCGCGGUAACACGGAGGGUGCAAGCGUUAAUCGGAAUUACUGGGCGUAAAGCGCACGCAGGCGGUCUGACAAGUCAGAUGUGAAAUCCCCGGGCUUAACCUGGGAACUGCAUUUGAAACUGUCAGGCUGGAGUCUUGUAGAGGGGGGUAGAAUUCCAGGUGUAGCGGUGAAAUGCGUAGAGAUCUGGAGGAAUACCGGUGGCGAAGGCGGCCCCCUGGACAAAGACUGACGCUCAGGUGCGAAAGCGUGGGGAGCAAACAGGAUUAGAUACCCCUGUAGUCCCUGUCUCUUAUAC
This 301-nucleotide ribosomal RNA is filed under the name uncultured bacterium. RNAcentral's name for it is "partial 16S ribosomal RNA". It matches the Rfam family "Bacterial small subunit ribosomal RNA", at positions 509 to 807 of the family's 1533-position model. The record is from RNAcentral.